Molecule: small nuclear RNA, 57 nt
Organism: Ochotona princeps (American pika)
Lineage: Eukaryota; Metazoa; Chordata; Mammalia; Lagomorpha; Ochotonidae
Source: Ensembl
GUGCUCGUUUUGGCAGCACAUACACUAAACUUGGCAUGAUACAGAGAAGACUAGCAU